CCUACGGGAGGCAGCAGUGGGGGAUAUUGCACAAUGGGGGGAACCCUGAUGCAGCGACGCCGCGUGUGGGAAGACGGUCCUCUGGAUUGUAAACCACUGUCCCCAGGGACGAAAAUGACGGUACCUGGGGAGGCAGCUCCGGCUAACUACGUGCCAGCAGCCGCGGUAAUACGUAGGGAGCGAGCGUUGUCCGGAAUUACUGGGUGUAAAGGGAGCGUAGGCGGGGAUGCAAGUUGGGUGUAAAAACUACCGGCUCAACUGGUAGUCGCACUCAAAACUGCAGCUCUUGAGUGAAGUAGAGGCAGGCGGAAUUCCUAGUGUAGCGGUGAAAUGCGUAGAUAUUAGGAGGAACACCAGUGGCGAAGGCGGCCUGCUGGGCUGUGACUGACGCUGAGGCUCGAAAGUGUGGGGAGCAAACAGGAUUAGAUACCCUUGUAGUC
This 440-nucleotide ribosomal RNA is filed under the name uncultured bacterium. Its description in RNAcentral is "partial 16S ribosomal RNA". It matches the Rfam family "Bacterial small subunit ribosomal RNA", at positions 338 to 795 of the family's 1533-position model. The record is from RNAcentral.